AUUCCGGAUAACGCAUAUUUGCUGGAAUGCUUUAUGCGUCAAAAGGAUUCGUCUGCCCAAGGAUGGGUCUGCGGCCUAUCAGGUAGUAGUGGGUGUAAUGUACCUACUAGCCAGCGACGGGUACGGGUUGUGAGAGCAAGAGCCCGGAGAUGGAUUCUGAGACAUGAAUCCAGGCCCUACGGGGCGCAGCAGGCGCGAAAACUUUACAAUGCGGGAAACCGUGAUAAGGGGACACCGAGUGCCAGCAUCAUAUGCUGGCUGUCCGGAUGUGUAAAAUACAUCCGUUAGCAAGGGCCGGGCAAGACCGGUGCCAGCCGCCGCGGUAACACCGGCGGCCCGAGUGGUGAUCGUGAUUAUUGGGUCUAAAGGGUCCGUAGCCGGUUUGGUCAGUCCUCCGGGAAAUCUGAUAGCUCAACUAUUAGGCUUUCGGGGGAUACUGCCAGACUUGGAACCGGGAGAGGUAAGAGGUACUACAGGGGUAGGAGUGAAAUCUUGUAAUCCCUGUGGGACCACCUGUGGCGAAGGCGUCUUACCAGAACGGGUUCGACGGUGAGGGACGAAAGCUGGGGGCACGAACCGGAUUAGAUACCCGGGUAGUCCCAGCCGUAAACGAUGCUCGCUAGGUGUCAGGCAUGGCGCGACCGUGUCUGGUGCCGCAGGGAAGCCGUGAAGCGAGCCACCUGGGAAGUACGGCCGCAAGGCUGAAACUUAAAGGAAUUGGCGGGGGAGCACAACAACGGGUGGAGCCUGCGGUUUAAUUGGACUCAACGCCGGACAACUCACCGGGGGCGACAGCAAUAUGUAGGCCAAGCUGAAGACUUUGCCUGAAUCGCUGAGAGGAGGUGCAUGGCCGUCGCCAGUUCGUACUGUGAAGCAUCCUGUUAAGUCAGGCAACGAGCGAGACCCGUGCCCACUGUUACCAGCAUGUCCUCCGGGACGAUGGGUACUCUGUGGGGACCGCCGAUGUUAAAUCGGAGGAAGGUGCGGGCCACGGUAGGUCAGUAUGCCCCGAAUCUCCCGGGCUACACGCGGGCUACAAUGGAUGGGACAAUGGGUCCCUCCCCUGAAAAGGGCUGGUAAUCUC
This 1084-nucleotide ribosomal RNA is filed under the name Methanosarcina mazei. Its description in RNAcentral is "bacterial SSU rRNA". It matches the Rfam family "Archaeal small subunit ribosomal RNA", at positions 149 to 1231 of the family's 1478-position model. The record is from RNAcentral. Lineage: Archaea; Methanobacteriati; Methanobacteriota; Methanomicrobia; Methanosarcinales; Methanosarcinaceae.